Long non-coding RNA from Oreochromis niloticus (Nile tilapia), 1064 nucleotides. RefSeq lists it as uncharacterized. The record is from RefSeq and is a predicted model, not a curated record. Lineage: Eukaryota; Metazoa; Chordata; Actinopteri; Cichliformes; Cichlidae. The transcript has 3 exons.
GCGCAGAAAACACAGAUGGAUUCUGAAGGUGAGGGCUUCUCUUAUGUCACCACAGCAUCUUAGUUAUGGGUCUGCGGGAUUUGUGGAGUAACUACAAAGUGUUGAUUGUGAUGGGCACAAGUCUGGGGCUGAUCCACUGGGGCUGGUACAAUCUGAAGGGAAACCCACUGCUACGCAAAGACGGAGACGAGUAUAUUCCUGAACCUGGCAUUGUUACCUACGUUUCCCCUCCUGCAUCUGCUCUUCCUUCUCCUCCUCCAGCUGUUGCUCACAAGAGCAAGUAACCCGCACUGAGUGGUCAGCAUGAAACCUCAGAGCUGGCUCAGAAGGAACUGGCUGUGGGCCGUCUCUGGUGCCUUUGUGACUAUCCACCUGGCCACAUGGAUAAUGCAGAGAACUAUGAAGAGCGUGGUGCGCUCUGAAGUUGCAGUCAAAAAGAAAACUGUUGAAGGGAGACCAGACUGAUUUUUAUUUAAGUCCCUGGAAUGAUGGAAGGAUAGAAAUCAGCCUCCAGACGACUGUGCCUCACAUUCACUGAUAAAGACUGUACUGUAUCCACAUCCAUCCACAUCCACUUGAGAAUAUCAAGUUUGAAACGAUUGCCGUAAAAAUUCAGUUUUGUUGGACAGCUUGACACUUUUCUUGAGUUAGUUCAAAUAAAUUGCUGUUUCAAGUUGUAAUUUAAAGUAAUUAAAAACAUGGAAAUGUAUAUUUCAAUAAAAUAAAUGUCUUGAUUAAGACUUUUUUAUGUCGAUUUAAAGGGUGGACUUACUCAGCUUCACAGUGUAUUGUAGGGAGAUUGUAUUUAUUUCUUCAUGUUAACCAGUUCAAUUUAAACACCUAAAAUUAUAGAUGUCAGUGCUGCUAACAAGAAUUAUCUUAAACUAAAGCAAGAAUAGUCAAAUUUUAUUUCAACUGGGGCAGACACUUAAAACCACAGUAUUAAUACUGUGUUAAAAAUGUAUCCAAAAUGAUUUGUUUCUUGUCAUUCAAAAAAACAUUGUUUCAUUAAAUGUGAUUGUUUUCAUAUCCUUAUCAAAUAAAUCUGUUGGAAUCUCCCCUUA